UUGCUACUGGUUUAUUUAAUAUAUAUCAAAUGUGUUGAAUAAUGUAAGUUGGCUGGCAAACCUUCUAAACGGGAGUAUUUAUAACAUUAAUAUUUGCACAAGUACAUUAAACAGUUCAGACCUCCGAAAUCUGGAUAAUUCAUUUAUCUUAUAAACGUUUCUUAAGAAAUAUAUAUAUAAAGAAAUAAAGAAAAAAAGGAAGAAGAAAAAAAAACGUACUUGGAAAUUUGAAUAUUGUGUAAAUCACUUACUUUGUUUUUACUGUAACACAUUUUUAAAUUUUAAAUAGGCAGAAUAACUAUUACGAGUCUUUAGAUAUGAGCGAGUGAUUUAGAUAAAAUAAUUGUUUUAAGGUCAAAUAUGUUCUAUAAUCAUUACGACUAUAGGUCGCGUCAUAUGGACAAGAAUUAUUAUUUUACGAAAACUGAUGAAAGUAAAAAGGGGGACUAUGAUAUAUUACGAAUAAAUCACGACGAGACGGCAAGACAGACGGGUGAAUACAUCGAUGACCCGGAUGAACACGAUGAUUAUGGUAGGGAUAAAUUACCUCGUACACAAGAAUCAUGUGCCAGAGGAAAACAAGUUCACGUAUUAGUAACGCAUUGGUCUGGAUGAAUAGGUCAGGGUGUCUGUGACAAUCUUCGACUAGCAAUAGAAGAUAACUAUGACGAAGAAGACGUUUCAUUUGAACAGAGAAAAGGCGCAAUAAAUUCCUUUGAGGUGUACGUCAACGACAGUUUAUUGUAUUCAAGACUUCGAAACGGCGGUUACCCAUACGAAGAUGACGUAUUGCUUGCAAUCGAGAAAGCCAAGCGAGGACACGAAGUCAAACUUGUUAGAAGCGGAAAGUCAAUUCUCUGUUCGAUUCUUUAGUGGUGAUUGACGUCACAGAUACCCUGCACGAGACAUUAUCCUUCCGGAGAAAAAAACAAUAGUUUAUAUAAAAAACAAAACUAUGAGAUGUACAUAUAUUGACAACAUUUGUGUUUGCAUAGCCUACAAUGACGUUUCACAUCGAAAAUUAAAGUAAUGUGGGACUGAUAAAUGCACGUGCAAAUGCGAUGUUGGAAUUUACUUAUCUUUGUGUUACUACCAAUAAAAUCACACGACAUCAUCUAUCACAUUUUUAAAAAAAAGAAAUCAUAUGAGCCGUGCCAUGACAAAAACCAACAUAAUGGGUUUGCGACCAGCAUGGAUCCAGACCAGCCUGCGCAUCCGCGCAGUCUGAUCAGGAUCCAUGCUGUUCGCUAUCAGGUUCUCUACUUGUUAUAGGGUUUGUAAGCGAACAGCAUGGAUCCUGAUCAGACUGCGCGGAUGCGCAGGCUGGUCUGGAUCCAUGCUUCUCUCAAACCCAUUAUGUUGGUUUUGUCAUGACGCGGCUCAAAGCAUAUAUCAAAACAAAUGCUCUUCUUAAUUCAUAUAGACAAGCAAAUUUUGAUAUGUGUACGUAAUUUUCAAGUAUGUGAUAGCCCCGUCUUAAUAUGACGACUAUUACAAGUGGCAACUGAAAGACAUGGGCGACAAUUCGAUUCAACUAAUUAUAACUAACUUUUUACUCUCCCUUUUCGAAAUAUUGCAAAAAGAAAUUCAAAAUUCAGGUUUUAUCAGCCUAAAUCUUUUGGCGUUUUAAUCGAUUUUUUAGAACUUGGUCUAUGAUUUCAAGCUAUUACUCGUUAUUGCCUGGGAACUCCUUGGUUAUCGUUCAUAAAAUAUCGCAUUUCUUCAGCCCUUUCCGUCAUUGUUCGGAUAGGAACUAUUAUUGAUAAUAGCCGAGAUGUUUCGAUUGAAAGAUAGUUUGACAGAAAAGGCCGAGAAGAUCGAUUGUACAAAAAACGUUCGUUUAUGUUAUUGCUCAUUCUUUUUCCUGUGUGCGUGUGUUUUUAGAUAUUUUGUUGUUUAUAUGUUCGUAACUUCGUCCGUAUGUUAUGUCGUGUUUUAUUUGAUCGAUUGAUUGAUUGAUUGAUCGAUUGCAUAUCAGACGUUUCUGUUAGUUUUACCAAUGCCUGAAAUUUCAUCUGGCAUGGGGGUGCCAGAUGAGUCGCGUGCUGUACAAUGACAUGCUUAGGAUGACGUCAUUUUACCGUUAUGAAUAAAGUUGUUAUUUCAUACACUGUUGUGAGAAAAUAGUUACGGGUGUAAUGGCAUGUAUUUCGACGAAAAUUUUUUUGUUUAAAAUAUUUUGGAAUAUGGUAGAAUAUGCAAGAAAAAAUAUGUGACACACUGAACAACCCUGUUGUUUAAUGCAAGUAAAGUCACCUUCAACAUAGAUUCUCCCGUUUAAAAUACCAAAAUUUGCAUUAAAAAAAAAACAAUUAAAACAUCGCUAUAUCCAUUGCAAGGUAUACAGUCAACACCUUCAUAUUACUGUAUAGUAUUGUAGCUGAUUUGGAACGCUUUUGUGCGUCGUGUUGGCGCUAGCCAAAGAGCGCGUUGUUGGACUUUCGUCUUGUCGUCAUGUCGCUAACGAUGUACGCCAAACGGCGAGUUGUCGUGCGGAGUGUUGUCGCGAUGUCACACUGUCGCUCGGUUCAAAUCAAAGGAUUGGCAUAUAAGCCAAGAGACAGCGCGACAACGCGCCGUUUGGCGCAAUAACGCGCUGUCGCUAGCGACAAGACGAAAAAUCACAUCUUUAGCAUGAAUACUCAAUUUUAAGGUAGGUGUAAGGCACGGUGCAUAUCCAUAUCGGUACCCUCUUUGC
This is a long non-coding RNA of Ruditapes philippinarum (Manila clam), 2698 nucleotides long. RefSeq lists it as uncharacterized. The record is from RefSeq and is a predicted model, not a curated record. The transcript has 4 exons. NCBI's taxonomy places the organism in Eukaryota, Metazoa, Mollusca, Bivalvia, Venerida, Veneridae.